This 103-nucleotide non-coding RNA is filed under the name anaerobic digester metagenome. RNAcentral describes it as "TPP". It matches the Rfam family "TPP riboswitch aptamer (THI element)". From Rfam's summary of the family: Vitamin B(1) in its active form thiamin pyrophosphate (TPP) is an essential coenzyme that is synthesised by coupling of pyrimidine and thiazole moieties in bacteria. The previously detected thiamin-regulatory element, thi box was extended, resulting in a new, highly conserved RNA secondary structure, the THI element, which is widely distributed in eubacteria and also occurs in some archaea. Analysis of operon structures identified a large number of new candidate thiamin-regulated genes, mostly transporters, in various prokaryotic organisms. The record is from RNAcentral.
CUCUUUUACAUGGGGUGGCCGGUUUUUAUCACCGUGCCUGAGAUCAUACCCGUUGAACCUGAUCUGGGUAAUACCAGCGAAGGGAGAACACUGACACCGUACG